RNAcentral lists this ribosomal RNA (301 nucleotides) under uncultured bacterium. RNAcentral's name for it is "partial 16S ribosomal RNA". It matches the Rfam family "Bacterial small subunit ribosomal RNA", at positions 509 to 807 of the family's 1533-position model. The record is from RNAcentral.
CAGUCGCCGCGGGAAUACGGAGGGUGCAAGCGUUAUCCGGAUUUAUUGGGUUUAAAGGGUCCGUAGGCGGACUUAUAAGUCAGUGGUGAAAGCCUGUCGCUUAACGAUAGAACUGCCAUUGAUACUGUAAGUCUUGAGUAUAUUUGAGGUAGCUGGAAUAAGUAGUGUAGCGGUGAAAUGCAUAGAUAUUACUUAGAACACCAAUUGCGAAGGCAGGUUACCAAGAUAUAACUGACGCUGAGGGACGAAAGCGUGGGUAGCGAACAGGAUUAGAUACCCCAGUAGUCCCUGUCUCUUAUAC